GAAAGAAGGAGAGAAGGGUCAAAACUUAAGGAGAGGAGAAGAAGAGAAUGAAGAAAAGUUAAUUUCUAUUGGAAUUAACACUUGAAUCAAAUGGUUUUUGCUAGAAAUCAUCAAAGGUGAGUUAGUUAUCAUUUAUUCUUAAGUUAUCUACUUAAUUUAGAGAAGAAAUGGUCAGGGUUUUAAAAAAGAUUUUGAGCAAAAUUGAUCUUUGAUGGAAACUAGAUGAAUAAACAUGAUUUAAUAUGUUAACUAGUUAGUUUUAAUUAUAUAACUAUGAAUUGAGUUUUAAUUUGAUGAAAUUAAAGAAAAUCAUAUAUAGGGUUCUUGAAGUAGGUUCGGCCAAAUGAAGAUUUCUAUUGAGAUGAUGUUUUCAAUUUGAAUUGAUGAGUUUAAAUGGUUAAUUAAACAUCCUAAUUAAGUUAUUAAGUGUUGGAUUGGAAAGAAUUAUUCUAAAAUUGAUAUUACCAGUUUUAUAUGGUUAUGGAAGUUUAAGGAGCUUAAGAAAAUAUUCAUGAAACAAUAUUAUGUUUGACGAAUUUUAAUGAUGUUGAUUGAUGAAUAGAUAAUUGAGUUGAGAUAUGUGAUUGAGAAAUGAAUGUUGGAGAAUACGAUAGAAUUUUCCAAAAGUCCAUGAUAUAAAGAGAAAUAAGAAUGUUAAGUAUUAAAGUAUGCUUGAUUAAAUGCCUAAAUGAAUAUUAAUAUGCUUCCUUAUUCAUAUAGGUGAAAGGAUCAUAGAAGGCGUUGAAGAAUGAGGUACUUCCAGGCCUUGAGACUGCAUUUCUGUGUAUUAUGAGUAAAAACUAAAUAUGAUUAUUUAUAUAUGAUAAAUGUUUGUUUAAAAUAUCUGCUAUGGCCAUAUUUUGUAUUUGAUAUUCUGGAUUGAAAAGAAUAUGAUGUGAUUCUGAAAAGUGGCAAAUCAAGCAAAAAUUUAUGUAUUAUUCUGAGGCAAGUGAGCAUAAUCUAUGAAUGCAAUUCUAUCAAAUUCUACAUCUGAGAGAAAAGAAAGUUAUGAUUGUCAUUACCAACUUGUAAUUUUGAUCUAUAUCUGGAGCUGCAUGCUCAAAAUCUGUAUCUGGAACUGCAUUCUCAAAAUAUCUGAUCUGAAAGCUGGCCAACUAAAUUUGAUAUUUGAAAUUUGUUAUCUGAUACUUCGGGGGCGAGCUUGGUUUAACAAGUCAUAACAUAAAUAAUCAGACAAUCAUCUGAAUUUAUAUUUCUGAAAUAUGUCUCUUUAGCAUCUAUACAUAUGAUGCUUGAAUUAUCUGUUAUUUGCAUUUCUAUUAAUGGAAAUGAUGUGAUAUCUAUUCACUUAUUAUUGUGAAUGAUAUGAUGAAUGGCUACUAAUUGAGAAUGGUUGAUGUCGAGCAAUGAUGAUCUGAAGAAUUUGAGAUGUUCUGAAUUAUAGGGAGUGUACUGUGUGUCAUAUUAAAGAUGCUUAAUAUAUGCAAUAUAAUUCCAAAUAAUCAUUAUGAUAGUUUUAUCUCACUCAAUAGCAUCUCAUAUUAAAUGCUAAUGUUUUUCUAGAUUUUAGUGUUGUGAGGCAUUAACAAUCAGAUUUCCUUUUAUUCAGACAGACAUAUAUGGAACAAAUGUCGAGUUCAGUUGUGAUAUUUGUUUACUCAUUAUUGUGAAUGAUAUGAUGAAUGACUACUAUUGUAUGAUAAUAGUUUAUAUCGGGCAAUGAUGGCCUGAGGAGUUUGAAAUGUUUUGAAUUAUAGAGAGUGUAUUGUGUGCCUUGUUUGAGAUGCUUGAUAUAUCAAUAUAAUUCCAAAUAAUCAUUAUGAUGGCUGUAUUUCACUUAAUAACAUCUCAUAUGAAACGCUAAUGUUUUUUCAGAUUUUGGUGUUGGGAGGCAUUAACAAUCAGAUUUCCUUUUAUUCGGACAGACAGAUAUGGAACAAAGGUCGAGAUUAGUUGUAUCUGCAUAUGUCACCUUCUUAAUUUUGUAUAAAUGUUUUGUAUGAGUUUAUACUCCUUAUAGUCAGGGGCGGAGCUAGGACAAUUAUUUUGAGGGAGUCAAAUGAAUUUUUUAAGACUUUUAAGGAGACCAAAUAUAACUUUUUUAUAUUUUGAAGGAUUAAAAUGUCAUUUUUCAUAAGAAAAUUAAAAAAAAAAAAAUUUGGGGAGGGCCACGGCCCCCUUAGGCCCCAAGGGAGCUCCUCCUCUACCUAUGGUCCACAAUGUAAUAAAGAUAUACUCGGACUAUAUUUUGUCAUGUAUAAAAUCAUAUAUGACUGUAUUUGAAUAGAAAGAAAUUUUUUGAUGCU
RNAcentral lists this long non-coding RNA (2267 nucleotides) under Jatropha curcas. RNAcentral describes it as "long non-coding RNA (JCUR_LNC000792)". The record is from RNAcentral. Lineage: Eukaryota; Viridiplantae; Streptophyta; Magnoliopsida; Malpighiales; Euphorbiaceae.